ACUGCUCAGUAACACGUGGAUAACCUGCCCUUGGGUCCGGCAUAACCCCGGGAAACUGGGGAUAAUUCCGGAUAACGCACAUAUGCUGGAAUGCUUUAUGCGUAAAAUGGAUUCGUCUGCCCAAGGAUGGGUCUGCGGCCUAUCAGGUAGUAGUGGGUGUAAUGUACCUACUAGCCAACAACGGGUACGGGUUGUGAGAGCAAGAGCCCGGAGAUGGAUUCUGAGACAUGAAUCCAGGCCCUACGGGGCGCAGCAGGCGCGAAAACUUUACAAUGCGGGAAACCGUGAUAAGGGGACACCGAGUGCCAGCAUCAUAUGCUGGCUGUCCAGGUGUGUAAAAUACACCUGUCAGCAAGGGCCGGGCAAGACCGGUGCCAGCCGCCGCGGUAACACCGGCGGCCCGAGUGGUGAUCGUGAUUAUUGGGUCUAAAGGGUCCGUAGCCGGUUUGGUCAGUCCUCCGGGAAAUCUGACGGCUCAACCGUUAGGCUUUCGGGGGAUACUGCCAGGCUUGGAACCGGGAGAGGUAAGAGGUACUACAGGGGUAGGAGUGAAAUCUUGUAAUCCCUGUGAGACCACCUGUGGCGAAGGCGUCUUACCAGAACGGGUUCGACGGUGAGGGACGAAAGCUGGGGGCACGAACCGGAUUAGAUACCCGGGUAGUCCCAGCCGUAAACGAUGCUCGCUAGGUGUCAGGCAUGGCGCGACCGUGUCUGGUGCCGCAGGGAAGCCGUGAAGCGAGCCACCUGGGAAGUACGGCCGCAAGGCUGAAACUUAAAGGAAUUGGCGGGGGAGCA
Molecule: ribosomal RNA, 795 nt
Filed under: uncultured archaeon
Lineage: Archaea
Description: bacterial SSU rRNA
Rfam family: Archaeal small subunit ribosomal RNA
Source: RNAcentral